RNAcentral lists this ribosomal RNA (254 nucleotides) under uncultured bacterium. RNAcentral describes it as "partial 16S ribosomal RNA". It matches the Rfam family "Bacterial small subunit ribosomal RNA", at positions 524 to 776 of the family's 1533-position model. The record is from RNAcentral.
UACGUAGGGUGCGAGCGUUGUCCGGAAUUACUGGGCGUAAAGAGCUCGUAGGUGGUUUGUCGCGUUGUUCGUGAAAACUCACAGCUCAACUGUGGGCGUGCGGGCGAUACGGGCAGACUGGAGUACUGCAGGGGAGACUGGAAUUCCUGGUGUAGCGGUGGAAUGCGCAGAUAUCAGGAGGAACACCGGAUGGCGAAGGCAGGUCUCUGGGCCGAUACUGACGCUGAGGAGCGAAAGCGUGGGGAGCGAACAGG